This 253-nucleotide unclassified non-coding RNA is filed under the name uncultured Gaiellales bacterium. RNAcentral describes it as "contains 16S-23S intergenic spacer region". It matches the Rfam family "Bacterial small subunit ribosomal RNA", at positions 524 to 776 of the family's 1533-position model. Lineage: Bacteria; Bacillati; Actinomycetota; Thermoleophilia; Gaiellales. The record is from RNAcentral.
UACGUAGGGAGCAAGCGUUGUCCGGAAUUAUUGGGCGUAAAGAGCGUGUAGGCGGCCAAGUAAGUCUGGUGUGAAAUCCGGAGGCUCAACCUCCGGCUGUCACUGGAAACUGCCUGGCUAGAGUCCGGAAGAGGAGAGUGGAAUUCCUGGUGUAGCGGUGAAAUGCGCAGAUAUCAGGAGGAACACCUGUGGCGAAGGCGACUCUCUGGUACGUGACUGACGCUGAGACGCGAAAGCGUGGGUAGCGAACAGG